AACGAACGCUGGCGGCAUGCCUAACACAUGCAAGUCGAACGAGACCUUCGGGUCUAGUGGCGCACGGGUGCGUAACGCGUGGGAACCUGCCCUUAGGUUCGGAAUAACUCCCCGAAAGGGGUGCUAAUACCGGAUACUGUCUUCGGACCAAAGAUUUAUCGCCUUUGGAUGGGCCCGCGUUGGUUUUGCUGUUUGGUAGGGAAAAAGCCUACCAAGGCGAGGAUCCAUAGCUGGUCUGAGAGGAGGAUCAGCCACCCGGGGACUGGGACACGGCCCAGACUCCAACGGGAGGAAGCAGGGGGGAAGUUGGGAAAUGGGGGGAAGGCUUGAGCCAGGAAGGCGGGGGGGGGGAGGAAGGCCUUGGGUUGGUAAAGUUCUUUUACCCGGGCUGAUAAUGACGGUACCUGGAGAAGAAGCACCGGCUAACUCCGUG
This 433-nucleotide ribosomal RNA is filed under the name uncultured bacterium. RNAcentral describes it as "partial 16S ribosomal RNA". It matches the Rfam family "Bacterial small subunit ribosomal RNA", at positions 29 to 507 of the family's 1533-position model. The record is from RNAcentral.